RNAcentral lists this ribosomal RNA (609 nucleotides) under uncultured bacterium. RNAcentral's name for it is "bacterial SSU rRNA". It matches the Rfam family "Bacterial small subunit ribosomal RNA", at positions 338 to 951 of the family's 1533-position model. The record is from RNAcentral.
CCUACGGGAGGCAGCAGUGAGGAAUAUUGGACAAUGGGCGCAAGCCUGAUCCAGCCAUGCCGCGUGCAGGAAGAAGCAUCUAUGGUGUGUAAACUGCUUUUGUACAGGAAGAAACACUCCCUCGUGAGGGAGCUUGACGGUACUGUAAGAAUAAGGACCGGCUAACUCCGUGCCAGCAGCCGCGGUAAUACGGAGGGUCCGAGCGUUAUCCGGAAUCAUUGGGUUUAAAGGGUCCGUAGGCGGUUUAAUAAGUCAGUGGUGAAAUCUGGCCGCUCAACGAUCAAACGGCCAUUGAUACUGUUAGACUUGAAUUAUAAGGAAGUAACUAGAAUAUGUAGUGUAGCGGUGAAAUGCUUAGAUAUUACAUGGAAUACCAAUUGCGAAGGCAGGUUACUACUUAUGGAUUGACGCUGAUGGACGAAAGCGUGGGGAGCGAACAGGAUUAGAUACCCUGGUAGUCCACGCCGUAAACGAUGGAUACUAGCUGUUCGGAGCAAUCUGAGUGGCUAAGCGAAAGUGAUAAGUAUCCCACCUGGGGAGUACGUUCGCAAGAAUGAAACUCAAAGGAAUUGACGGCUGAGACGAGCGAGACGACGACGAGGGAGGAGG